GACGAACGCUGGCGGCGUGCUUAACACAUGCAAGUCGAACGGAAAGGCCCUGCUUUUGUGGGGUGCUCGAGUGGCGAACGGGUGAGUAACACGUGAGUAACCUGCCCUGGACUUUGGGAUAACUUCAGGAAACUGGGGCUAAUACCGGAUAGGAGCUCCUGCUGCAUGGUGGGGGUUGGAAAGUUUCGGCGGUUGGGGAUGGACUCGCGGCUUAUCAGCUUGUUGGUGGGGUAGUGGCUUACCAAGGCUUUGACGGGUAGCCGGCCUGAGAGGGUGACCGGCCACAUUGGGACUGAGAUACGGCCCAGACUCUUACGGGAGGCAGCAGUGGGGAAUAUUGCACAAUGGGCGGAAGCCUGAUGCAGCAACGCCGCGUGCGGGAUGACGGCCUUCGGGUUGUAAACCGCUUUCGCCUGUGACGAAGCGUGAGUGACGGUAAUGGGUAAAGAAGCACCGGCUAACUACGUG
Molecule: ribosomal RNA, 468 nt
Filed under: uncultured bacterium
Lineage: Bacteria
Description: partial 16S ribosomal RNA
Rfam family: Bacterial small subunit ribosomal RNA
Source: RNAcentral